Molecule: transfer RNA, 67 nt
Filed under: Podarcis lilfordi (Lilford's wall lizard)
Lineage: Eukaryota; Metazoa; Chordata; Lepidosauria; Squamata; Lacertidae
Description: tRNA.Ile
Source: RNAcentral
GCGCUCAGCUGGUUAGAGCGCAGUGCUGAUAAUGCCAAGGUGGCAGGUUCGAUCCCCGCAUGGGACA